Molecule: long non-coding RNA, 3453 nt
Organism: Passer domesticus (house sparrow)
Lineage: Eukaryota; Metazoa; Chordata; Aves; Passeriformes; Passeridae
Exons: 3
Source: RefSeq, a predicted model, not a curated record
UUCCUAUUUCCUGUGAGAAGGGUUUCCAAAUGAGCCUUUGGCAAUAUUUCUGAACAAAGUGGGACCCCUGUAGGAAUAAACUGGCUUUGCCUCUCAAAUCUCCAUGGGGCUUAUGAAGCAAAAUGAGUUUAGCAGAGAAAGUAGGUUAAAGCAAGGAGAGGCAGCCUCCUCCCUCGACUGAGCUGAAAAGAAGCAUAAACACCCACCUGAUCCAAUAUAUUUAAGACUCAGUAGUCCUAAAAAAGACCACAGAUCAAGAAGCAUCAACUGACACAAACUUACAAAAGGUGUUCCCUAACUGUUACUUGGAUGAUUUAGCGUUAAUCUGGAUUUACUCUAUAGAAGCAAAUUAAGAAAUCUCAUUUGAUAUAAUGUUAAUCUUUGAAAGUAAUGUGGCUUUUGGAUAUGAACGCUUUCUUUGUGUGUGUGUGUGUGUGUGUGUGUGUGUUCCUGCCAGUAUAUUUUAGUAAGGAUUAGAGGGUUUGUGAUUUUGUUGUGGUUUUUUUCCAAGAAUUGGACCAUAAGUAAGUUGCUUGUAUAAGGAUUAUUACGAAAUACAGUGUUUUGUUAAUUAUUUUUAGAAUUGUUUCUUUUAGACACAGAUUCUUUGGAAAUGAAAAUGUUUUCUUAUUUUUUUCUCUACCUAAUCCAAUAGCUUUUGUUAUUUUCCACCAUGUGAGUUCUUAUCAACAAUAUGGACUUUCCCCCCACCUCCUACCUGUAAUGAAAUCCUGGAAAUCCUUUUUAAAUUCCCUAAUAUAUUGUUACACUGCUUCUGAGCUGCAGUUAUGAAUUACCUUGAUUUAUUUUGACACUGUGAUUAAUUUUGACACUGAGGAGUUUUCGUAGUACCAAAAUUUACCAACAGUAGUUCUGUCACUUAUGUGCUAUUCUCAAUAGUAUCACUGUGUAUCAUUGUGGGAAAUUAAUUUCUGAGAAGUAUCUUAAUCUUUUUUGCUUUUUUCCCCCUUCUUUUUAUAAUGAAACAGUGCCCCCAAGAGCUCCUUUUUUUUUUUUUUUUUUUUUUUUUUUUUUUUUUUUUUUAACCAGGAAGGGACAGUUUAAGAAAAUUAAGUCAACCAUUUAUCAGUAUAUUAAUCUCUGAACAUAAAAAUUCUGCCCAGCAUUGCAACCAAAGGUGUUGGUUUGAAGAAUAGUUGAAAGAGUGUUUUGGUUUUCUUGUUUUAUGCCCAAUAAUAGAAAGUUAACCAAAUGACUGAAUUCCUCUAAUGGUUCCAGUUUGGAGAGCUGUGCUAUCUUUGCUGGCACUCUGAAGAAAGGGAGGAGGCUGCAGAGAUCAACUUCUCAGCAAAGGUCUUUAUGGCAGGGCUGCUUUUGUCCUUUGCCAGUUGACAUCAGGACAGCUGGCAGUGGUCUGGGAGGCAGCAGGAAGCACUGUUUGUUUGUUUGUUUGUGUGUGGAUAAACAGAGAAGAAAGAUAGCGUGAAGUGAACAAGAACAAAGAGAGAAUAAACAAGGAACAGCUUUAGUUACAGCAGUCAUAAAAAUACAAACACCAAGGCUAGUAGGUAUUUUGCUAAAAUAAAGGAAAUAUAUGCAAAAAUAAUCCUGAAUAGCCUCUAAAACUGAGAGGCAGGUUUUUAUGACAACCUGAAGUGAUAAAUUUUUUUAAACAUUUUUUAAGGGUCAAGAGUCAUCACUACUUUCUCUGACCCUGAAAACCAUCUACUACAAACAGAAUUUUGGGUAGUUUGUUGUCUUUCUCUCCAUCUCAUUGCAUGGGUUUGCCAGAAGUUGAAACUCAUAAAUGAAAUAAAAACCCCAGCUAUGAGCAUAUAUUUGCUUUAAAUAACUUUCAGUAACCUGUCACAGGAACACCUCAGGACUUCAUGUGCAACAGAAGUUUAAAUAGUAGGCAUGGUGUCCCCAAAAAAGCCUGCUAAUAUCUCUCUUUAACAGAGUAACUUUAUUUUCUCUGGUGUAUUUCUACAGACCCUUUUCAGCCAGGUCCUAGGCCCCUGAGAGAUCUAGGGAUGGAAGUCAGCAUUUUGAACUCUCCGAUAUGCAGAGCUUUUCAGACUGGUAAAUAAGUGUGAGAGCCUUGUGUUGUGAUGAGAUCUGUGCCAGAGCAGGAAUGCAGUAACAAGAGAAUGUUCAGAUCAAGCAGGCAGCUGCUCAGCAUUCAAAAUCCAACAUUUGCCUUAAAUCUGGAAGUUUGCUCUUUUUAGCUUUGAGCCAGACAAAUAUGAACGUUCAAUAAGUGUAUGGCACACUCACCAAAGACAAAUGGAUGGUUUUAUAAGCGGGAUGGAGUGAAUUUUACAAAAGUGGGAGAAGGUGACCUCUGCUCAGAAGCCUCCCUGCUCAUUAGCAGGUGGAUGUGGUUUAAAGAUUCACUGUGGUGCAAAGAAAGAAUCAAAUUAGGUGUUGUGUGAAGCUGUCAUUACUGUGUGUUUCUCUGUACAGUUCCAGCUUAAAGCAUGUCGUUCCUUUCAUAGCAGCCCCUCAGAUUACUGUAUCUCAUCCCUUCCACAUCAAAGCGCUGUCACCACUUUCACAGUAUAAAAAGAACGCUGAGAUAAUUUUACAAUACAUUCUCUUCAAACAGAUUUGACUUGUGCAGUUGCAACAUUUCUUUUUAUUCUGGGAUUUGCAAAGAAAGAUGCACUAAAAUGAGUAGCAUCUAAAAGCUGAACAAAAACAGUGAACUAAAUACCUGUUUAAAAUUGGACCAAAGCACCUCUGCAGGGAUGGUGAGGAUUUUAGGAAGUCAAUUCUUCUCAAGUGCCAUCUGAAUUAUUCUUCAGUCAGCUUGUAAGAACCUCCGGGAGGGUGGAAAAUGUCCAUUCUUGAAAAGCAUGAAUCAUCUCUUUUUAUUUACUAGCUAAAAAAAGUAUUCAGUAAAAUAUACAGUAAUGUCAGAUCCCACUCUCCACCUCAAAGGCUCAGUCUCAGCUAGGAGCCAGCAGCUGGGCUCACUAUAUUGACCUUACUGCUCUAUGAGAACGUAAAAUAAUAAAAUAAUGAAUACGGGAAGAAAGUGAGUGAAGGCAGCAGAAAGACAGAACUUCAUAGAACUGCCUUUAGCUUUGUGGGUCUUUUUAAAUUCCACUCUGCCAAGAAAUUUUUUUUCUUCUUAGUAAUUAUACAGCUAUGCAUAUAAAAGUGUAAAUGUUUCCCAUUGUAUUUCCUUGCCAUUUUUGUCAUUUGCCAGCAUCUAUAGAAGAGGUUGUCACAGAAGUGCAUAAUGGAAAGAUGGAAAUAGAAAUGAGAAAAGCACUGUGUCCUUGGCUCUUCAUGAAUGCAAAGGGACAAAUACUUUGUAAUAAUGUUCUGUCUUACAGAGAGGUCACAAACUGAUCUUGGUUACUUCGGUGUAAAUCGGGAGAAAUUCGGCUGAGCUCAAUAGACUUACUCAGGCCUGAAACCAAUUAUUGCUCUGGCGUGAGCGAGAUGGAGCCGCGCUCCUCGGCCCGGUUCUGGCACUGCGAU